AUGCUGAUAAUAUUCAUCAAUCUCUUCACUCUUCUCUCAUGUGUCAGUUCAGCUAAAGUUGUCACACAAAAACCCUCAGUACUGAGAGAAGAAAAAGGAAAAUCUGUGACUAUGGACUGUAAUAUAGGAAAGUAUCAGGGCCAGUAUGUUUCUUGGUAUAAACAGCUCCCAAAUGCAGCUCCUCAGUAUGUGUUGAGACACCAUCCUUCUGAAAGCUCUCCUAAUGAGUAUGGUGCCAGUUUUUCAUCCAACCAUUUCACAUCUAAAAAAAUGUCAAAUAUUGAUCAUCAGCUGAUCAUCAAUAAUAUAGAUGUGAGAGAUUCAGCUGUGUAUUACUGUUACACAUGGGACAACUCUGCUAGUGAGGGAGUAUCACAGUGA
This is a non-coding RNA of Paramisgurnus dabryanus, 381 nucleotides long. The record is from the annotation of a RefSeq genome assembly. Lineage: Eukaryota; Metazoa; Chordata; Actinopteri; Cypriniformes; Cobitidae.